This 464-nucleotide ribosomal RNA is filed under the name Vreelandella stevensii. RNAcentral describes it as "partial 16S ribosomal RNA". It matches the Rfam family "Bacterial small subunit ribosomal RNA", at positions 338 to 795 of the family's 1533-position model. Lineage: Bacteria; Pseudomonadati; Pseudomonadota; Gammaproteobacteria; Oceanospirillales; Halomonadaceae. The record is from RNAcentral.
CCUACGGGCGGCAGCAGUGGGGAAUAUUGGACAAUGGGGGAACCCUGAUCCAGCCAUGCCGCGUGUGUGAAGAAGGCCCUCGGGUUGUAAAGCACUUUCAGUGAGGAAGAACGCCUGGUGGUUAAUACCCAUCAGGAAAGACAUCACUCACAGAAGAAGCACCGGCUAACUCCGUGCCAGCAGCCGCGGUAAUACGGAGGGUGCGAGCGUUAAUCGGAAUUACUGGGCGUAAAGCGCGCGUAGGUGGCUUGAUAAGCCGGUUGUGAAAGCCCCGGGCUCAACCUGGGAACGGCAUCCGGAACUGUCAAGCUAGAGUGCAGGAGAGGAAGGUAGAAUUCCCGGUGUAGCGGUGAAAUGCGUAGAGAUCGGGAGGAAUACCAGUGGCGAAGGCGGCCUUCUGGACUGACACUGACACUGAGGUGCGAAAGCGUGGGUAGCAAACAGGAUUAGAUACCCCGGUAGUC